CCUACGGGGGGCUGCAGUGGGGAAUAUUGGACAAUGGGGGCAACCCUGAUCCAGCCAUGCCGCGUGUGUGAAGAAGGCCCUCGGGUUGUAAAGCACUUUCAGUGAGGAAGAACGCCUGGUGGUUAAUACCCAUCAGGAAGGACAUCACUCACAGAAGAAGCACCGGCUAACUCCGUGCCAGCAGCCGCGGUAAUACGGAGGGUGCGAGCGUUAAUCGGAAUUACUGGGCGUAAAGCGCGCGUAGGUGGCUUGAUAAGCCGGUUGUGAAAGCCCCGGGCUCAACCUGGGAACGGCAUCCGGAACUGUCAAGCUAGAGUGCAGGAGAGGAAGGUAGAAUUCCCGGUGUAGCGGUGAAAUGCGUAGAGAUCGGGAGGAAUACCAGUGGCGAAGGCGGCCUUCUGGACUGACACUGACACUGAGGUGCGAAAGCGUGGGUAGCAAACAGGAUUAGAUACCCGGGUAGUC
This 465-nucleotide ribosomal RNA is filed under the name Vreelandella stevensii. RNAcentral describes it as "partial 16S ribosomal RNA". It matches the Rfam family "Bacterial small subunit ribosomal RNA", at positions 338 to 795 of the family's 1533-position model. Lineage: Bacteria; Pseudomonadati; Pseudomonadota; Gammaproteobacteria; Oceanospirillales; Halomonadaceae. The record is from RNAcentral.